GGCCAUUUGUCUUCUCCAGAGUGCUUGAUGAUAUACCCUGGAAUUGUCCUGACGUCAUUGCAUGAGUCAGAACACUGAGCUAAUCCUGUUCUGCCCAGAGUGGAGUCCAAAACUCCCUGCAUGGUGAUCCAGGAUAAAAGCCAUGAAGCUACAGGUGGAUGAGAGACCAGUUGCAGGAGUGCAAAGACCAACUACGGCCAGAGAGAGUAAUGCAAAAACCCAGGAGAUGAUAAGGAGAAGCAUCCAGGCAUUCUUUGAAGACGGAAGUCCCCCAGGAGCUGUCAGAGUGGGAGAUGACCUGGGGGAGGGGCUGCCAGCUUUCCCACCCUCCUCUUCCAGACACAUGUGUGUUGAUGACUCGGUAAGGAUAGCUCCAAGCUGGAGGCCAUAGUGCGGGCAGUAGCUGACCUCCUGGAGAAAAGAUGGAACCAGUAAGGACCUGUGCAUGCUGAGUGCCACACGUGAGGACUGCAGGGCUGAGUGGGCCAAAGGUUUUCAGCACUGUCUCUUGGACUGCUAAUCAUUUAAGAUGCUCCCUGUCCCUGCCAUCAUCAGCACCACUUGCUCAGGAACUGCUUAUUGCUCACUACUAUCUCUGACCAGGUAUUUUUAUUUCCUGCCUAUCUGCCUUCCUGUUCAGUGUCAACUUUCCAAGGUAGUUCUACCCUACGGCAGAAAUAAUAUUUAUUUAAUAGCUGCCAUCUGCUAUGUACAGAAGCAGCCUUGUCUCCUAGUAUGCAUAGAAGUAGCAUGACUCCUAUUGUGUUGCUGGGCACAGGAGUAGUCUGGUAGGGUUGGUAGUAGUAACAGAAACAGGACCUGCUUCCUUACUGCAGGUCUUUCUUAGACAGAUGUAAGGUGGUCUAGGAGUUUUCUAAGGUUCUUAGACUGAGUUUAGCUGUCAGCUUACAGAUCUUGGUUAUGAAGCUCCCAGAAAGCUGAGGGUUAGAAAGAUGGAUUGACUUCAUUUUAGGAGAGACCAGGAGAUUUGAGAUUAGUUUUGAAUGCUGCUAGAUUGGAGCCCAAGAUAUGCCCAGUCAGUCUCAGAGUAGAUCAGGGAACCCCACAUGCCAUGCAUCCUGUGGGUUGGGAGUAGACCAGAGAACCCAGGCUAUGUCACGAUACCCGAGCCCUGUCUUCCUCCUGCCUUGGCCCCUGCCUUGCUCAUCCUCCCAACUUCAGUGUAGGCCACAGUUAAAAUUAAACCACAGUAGUCUAAAAAGCAGAUUCCUUUUGCCAGGUGCUCCUAGGAGAUAGAACCAACAGCCGUUUUGCUUCUGGGCUUUAGCCUAGGAAUGCAGUCAAUGACUGUUGCAUGGAAAAUUUAGCAGUUGAGCUCUGCCAGGGUCAGUUUCUUUCACCCUCCAUUAUCAUGCAAAGCUGUAUCCUCGGUUCUGGCCCAAGCUUUCAGGAGAAAGAUGGCUCCAGACAGCCUCAUGCCUCCUUGACAUAGACGGCAAGUUCUACUACCAAUCGGAAAGCUUGAGCAGCCACUCCUCUCCUGUGUGACUCCUCCACGGGUGUCAGGUGGGGAAUCAGUGUGUGAAUGUCUGGCUGCAAAUCUAAGUCACCAGCAAGUCACUUUUAACUUCUCCACGCCUUCAUUUUUGCGCUGGCAAAGAUGAUAAAAAUUCUAUUUCGUGGAAUUGUUGUGCAGAUUAAAUGAAUUAAUAUAUCCAAAAGCACUUGAAACAGUGCCUGGCACAGCCUAAGUGCUCCAUAAAUAUUAGCUAACAUCGUUACUAACGAUAUAAUGGACGUCAGACGCCAUCCUUUACACCUGGUACUUUGUUCUCGCAGGGCAAAGCUCGGGGCAGUACUAUCAUCUCCCUUUUGCUGUAAGGGAACGGAGUCAAAGAGAAGCAAAGGAACUUGAGGUCUAGGAAGUGAAACUAAGGAGUCAGGCCCAGAGGGCUCUUGGCUCUAACCCAGUGAUGGGGAACAUUUUAGGGACCGAGUGCCCAAAUGACAAGGUAAAACCCACUUUUUCUAUCUAUUGCAAAGUGCCAACACUGCGAUCAAACGUGAACACUGAGGUUUUAGUUAGAAAAAAACAAUUACAAUCCAGAGCCAACAGAGAGGGCUCUGCAUGCCCACUGUGGCACGCGUGCCACAGGUUUGCCAACACUGUUGUAGUCACUGUGUAACACUGUCCCGUGGAAGCAACUUCCCAGAGGGGUUCACUGGAUGCACUGUUGCAGAUCAUGUUUCCUUAGAAACAGGGAGCCCUGCUGAGCUCCUCUUCGAGUAUGCUGGCAACCACUUCUUAUAGCACAGAAAGUUACAGGGCCCACAUCUCUGCUUAGUUGCUGGCUCUGGCAAGUAGGGAAUCAGAAUGAGACUCAGCAGUCAUAACAGCUAACACCUUGCCCUCAUUUAAACUUCAAAGAGUCCUGUGAUCUCAUUUUGUAGUUUAUGAAGCUGAGGUUCAGAAAGGUCAAGCCAUUUACCCAGAAGUUCUGCCAUUUACUCAGCUGAGAAGUGGCAGAACUAAGAUUUGAACCCUGCAUUGUCUGGUUCCAGAAAUUAUACUGCAAACACUGCCCUGCACUGCAUGAGGAGUUGGCAUACCUCACCUGUUGACAGCUGAGAGAACACACACAGAGGGUAAGGCUUGAACUCCCAGCCCUCCAACACUUAGCAAAGCAGGAAGGAACUCCAGCCCGCGGCAGAUGCAGGGAAGUCCAGCCACCCAAGGGGAGAUGAUAUUUGUAACCUUGUCAAGAGGGACAGGACUCUAGCCACCCCU
Long non-coding RNA from Fukomys damarensis (Damara mole-rat), 2749 nucleotides. NCBI's taxonomy places the organism in Eukaryota, Metazoa, Chordata, Mammalia, Rodentia, Bathyergidae. The record is from Ensembl.